This is a long non-coding RNA of Morone saxatilis (striped sea-bass), 1038 nucleotides long. RefSeq lists it as uncharacterized. The transcript has 4 exons. Lineage: Eukaryota; Metazoa; Chordata; Actinopteri; Moronidae. The record is from RefSeq and is a predicted model, not a curated record.
AGCCCGAGCACUCUGGAGACAUGACAGCACUGUUAAGUGAUUUGAACAAAGACAUCGUCUUAAUCACUGCAUAAUACAUGGCAGGCCUUCACUCAGUUCCAGCUGGGAGGCAGCUACAGUGUCUACAAAACAUCAGGGGGAUACUGCAGCAGCCCGGUUGGCCUUCAACCUACCCAAAUUCUCCCACACUACACUGCUCCUCUGCAACCUGCACUGCUUACUGGUGGCUGCUUGAAUCAGAUUUAAGACACUGGUUCUUGCAUCGUGCCUGCGAGUGGCUCAGGCCCAUCCUACGUCCAGCCAGAGCAGCAAGUGAAAGUAUGUUUUCGUGACAAAGUUACACUCUACUGUGGAAGAUAAAAUAUUGCCUAUUGCCGUUUGGAGAUGCCUACUGCAGGAGAUGCAGUGUUAUGAGAGUGGAUGUGGCAAUCUCCAAAAAAUACAGACGUCACUGGAAAUCAUGGAUUAGGAUCGUAACAUUAUUGCAACACCUAUUCUCAGGAUGAAAAUGUACCAACAUGGUCAUCCCUGGGAUCACAUCAAGAGUUUUUCCACAGGAAGGCAGUUUUCAGGGAUACUGACCUGGUCCAUGUGAACUGACUGGCAGGUGGGUUGGCUUUGGCACCACAGGUGAACCUCACAUUCUCUUGACCCACGUGCCAAUUUUUGUCAACUCCUAUUAUCGAUACCACUGGUGCAACUGUAAAACAAAAUAAAACAAAAGGUUAUAAUAUUAAAGGUUUGCAAUAUGUGUAGGCUGUGUUAUUCUUUUACCACUUAAGGUUGUUCAUGCUGACUAAAAUGGAUUUUAUUUUUAUUUCAAGAGCUAAAAGACUAGGACUCAAUAAUCAGACACUGUGAUCCCAGCAGCCUGAUGACAAAUGAGCUUUUCCAGAGGGAACAAAGUGUGCAUUAUAAGCACAGUAGCAAGUGAUGACAAAAAACAAAGACUGUGCAGGACUGUAGCAGGGUACAGCAUCUUCUGGUGAACGAGAGCCAAGAGAACAAACAAAUGACCCUGGGUUGGUGGAAAGUUAA